UUUGUUAAGGAGAAUAUCCGAUAUGAUGAAUUAUGUCACUCCAGUGUUCAGGAGGAACUCCGAAAAAUCAGAAUAGAACUUCCUCUUGGAUCACGUGACACAGGACGCCACAGAACUGGGUCUGUUGGAAGACGGUCCUCUAUCAGAGUUUCAAGGUUUAGAUUGAGAUCAUCCAGCCAGCAGCCACGAACACAAGAAACCGGUUAUUACCGAAUAGACGAAAAUUUCCGGCUACAACCAGUUAUAAACAACACGGCUUACAUGGUUAUGUAGAAUGCAAAAGAUCUUAAAACCGGUUAUUACCGAAUAGACGAAAAUUUCCGGCUACAACUGCAGUUAUAAACAACACGACUUACAUGUUUAUGUAGAAUGAUAAAAGAUUUUAAAAACCAAUUAUACCAGAUGGUCGAAAUCUUCCAGUUACUGCAGCCAGUUUUAAACAACACACCCCAGUCUAAAAGUUGCUUGAUCCGUGCCGGUACAAUACAUUCUGUAUAUACAGUCCGUUGUACUGUCCAGUCAGGCUACCCAGUGCAGAGUCGACCUGGCACGUUUUUUGCAACAAAUGUAGCCGGACAAAAUCACAGUGGACACCGCCUUCAAGACAUUACAUUACAUAUUCAUGUAAAUUUCAAAAACCUAUAGUCAUAAUCAAGACCGUAAAAAAGUAAAAAAAAACCUAAGAACUGGUUAUUUCUGGAAAGAGGUGAAUUUUCGGUUACAGCCAGUUAUAAAUUCGUAAUAUUUAAAGAUCUAAAGAUCAGUUUUUUUCCAGAAAAUCUCGAAUAGUUAUGUAAUACUAAUGUGAAUGUAAUAUGUAAAAUCUUAAAAGACAUAAAAUCAAAUAUAUAAUC
Long non-coding RNA from Eurytemora carolleeae, 854 nucleotides. RefSeq lists it as uncharacterized. The record is from RefSeq and is a predicted model, not a curated record. The transcript is spliced from 4 exons. NCBI's taxonomy places the organism in Eukaryota, Metazoa, Arthropoda, Copepoda, Calanoida, Temoridae.